GUAAUUCUAGAGCUAAUACAUGCUAAAAACCCCGACUCCRGGAGGGGUGUAUUAUUAGAUAAAAAACCAAUGCCCUUCGGGGCUCCUUGGUGAUUCAUGAUAACUUAACGGAUCGCAUGGCCUUGCGCCGGCGACGGUUCAUUCAAAUUUCUGCCCUAUCAACUUUCGAUGGUAAGGUAUUGGCUUACCAUGGUUUUAACGGGUAACGGGAGAUUAGGGUUUGACUCCGGAGAGGGAGCCUGAGAAACGGCUACCACAUCCAAGGAAGGCAGCAGGCGCGCAAAUUACCCAAUCCCGACACGGGGAGGUAGUGACAAUAAAUACUGAUACAGGGCUCUUUCGGGUCUUGUAAUUGGAAUGAGUACAAUUUAAACCCCUUAACGAGGAACAAUUGGAGGGCAAGUCUGGUGCCAGCAGCCGCGGUAAUUCCAGCUCCAAUAGCGUAUAUUAAAGUUGUKGCAGUUAAAAAGCUCGUAGUUGAACCUUGGGCCUGGCUGGCCGGUCCGCCUCACCGCGUGCACUGGUUCGGCCGGGCCUUUCCUUCUGGAGAACCGCAUGCCCUUCACUGGGUGUGCCGGGGAACCAGGACUUUUACUUUGAAAAAAUUAGAGUGUUCAAAGCAGGCCUUUGCUCGAAUACGUUAGCAUGGAAUAAUAGAAUAGGACGUGCGGUCCUAUUUUGUUGGUUUCUAGGACCGCCGUAAUGAUUAAUAGGGAUAGUCGGGGGCAUCCGUAUUCAAUUGUCAGAGGUGAAAUUCUUGGAUUUAUUGAAGACGAACUACUGCGAAAGCAUUUGCCAAGGAUGUUUUCAUUAAUCAGUGAACGAAAGUUAGGGGAUCGAAGACGAUCAGAUACCGUCGUAGUCUUAACCGUAAACUAUGCCGACUAGGGAUCGGGCGAUGUUACUAUUUUGACUCGCUCGGCACCUUACGAGAAAUCAAAGUU
Molecule: ribosomal RNA, 944 nt
Filed under: Pteridiospora javanica
Lineage: Eukaryota; Fungi; Ascomycota; Dothideomycetes; Pleosporales; Astrosphaeriellaceae
Description: SSU rRNA
Rfam family: Eukaryotic small subunit ribosomal RNA
Source: RNAcentral